This 983-nucleotide unclassified non-coding RNA is filed under the name Hevea brasiliensis (rubber tree). The record is from RNAcentral. Lineage: Eukaryota; Viridiplantae; Streptophyta; Magnoliopsida; Malpighiales; Euphorbiaceae.
AACAGAUCCACUUCACUGUUUCUUUGGUGAGUAACUUGGCAUAAUAGUUAAUAGAGAGUGUGGCUGAAGAACAGAUAUGGAGAAGGUAACUAUAUCUAGGUGCUUAAACCUUGAAACUGGUAUUUAUAAAUUUGAAACAUAAUUAUACUAAUUUUUUGAACUCCAAAUGGUAACACAUUUGAGCAUAAAUUGAAUUCACACAGAAAAGCAAUGAAAACACAGAGUAACCAAUGGCUUUUGCUGAUGCUUUAUUCCUGGAGAUUUUCUGAUUAUAACUAGAGAACAAUCUGCAAUUAUUACAUAACCGAAAAAUUCAUCUAAAAAGAGUUAAGUUUUCAGUGCUUCAAUUGGGCUCUUCCCCCUCUGGUAGUAUUGAAAGUAAUUACCAACAUAAUUUUUCACCUUCUUGUAUUGUCUUGGCCUUGUCUUACUGACUAGACCAUCUACUGGUUCAAUUUCAUUAUCAGGAUCUGGAGAACAGAACACAGCCAGAGAAAACCUCUCCCUUUCUGGGUUUAUUACCACCCUGUGUAUUGGGCUCUUGAACAAUCCAUUGCUCAAUAUCUCUGCUUGUUCACCAAUGUUAAUGAGAAGAGCUUCAGGAAUAAUAGGAACUCUAAACCAUUGAUCAUCUUUCAGGAAUUGAAGACCUUCCACUUCUUUGUCUUGAAGAACAAUGGUGAUUACUGAUCCAUCAGAAUGUGAUUUCAGGCCAAGAACUAGAUGAUGCCUUGAACAUGGAGGAAAGAAGUUGAAUCUUGCCUGCAUUAUUGCCCUAGCUCCAUAUUUGUCUAAAAAGCAGUUGUUUUCCAAGUUCAGUGACCUAGCCAUGGCCUUGAGGACGACCUCAGUUAUCAGCCGUAACUUAGAGGUAUAUUCAAACAAAGUCUCUCUAAAAUUAGCAGGACUUUCUGGCCAAUAUCUGAGCUGUCUCUGGUCUUCUGGGCUUGCUAGAAGAUAUAGUCGGUCAUUCCAAUCAAGCA